This 682-nucleotide ribosomal RNA is filed under the name uncultured euryarchaeote. Its description in RNAcentral is "bacterial SSU rRNA". It matches the Rfam family "Archaeal small subunit ribosomal RNA", at positions 83 to 770 of the family's 1478-position model. Lineage: Archaea; Methanobacteriati; Methanobacteriota. The record is from RNAcentral.
CGGCUCAGUAACACGUGGAUAACCUACCCUCAGAUCUGGGAUAACUCCGGGAAACUGGAGAUAAUACCGGAUAAUCCGUGAACGCUGGAAUGCCUUACGGUUGAAAGCUUUAGCGUCUGAGGAUGGGUCUGCGGCCGAUUAGGUAGUUGCUGGGGUAACGUCCCAACAAGCCGAUAAUCGGUACGGGUUGUGAGAGCAAGAGCCCGGAGAUGGAUUCUGAGACACGAAUCCAGGUCCUACGGGGCGCAGCAGGCGCGAAAACUUUACACUGCGCGAAAGCGCGAUAAGGGGACCUCGAGUGCGUGCGCAAAGCGUACGCUUUUCAGAUGCCUAAAAAGCAUCUGGAAUAAGGGCCGGGCAAGACCGGUGCCAGCCGCCGCGGUAACACCGGCGGCUCAAGUGGUGGCCGCUAUUAUUGGGCUUAAAGGGUCCGUAGCCGGACCAGUUAGUCCCUUGGGAAAUCUUCCGGCUUAACCGUAAGGCUGCCAAUGGAUACUGCUGGUCUUGGGACCGGGAGAGGCAAGAGGUACCUCAGGGGUAGGAGUGAAAUCCUGUAAUCCUUGAGGGACCGCCAGUGGCGAAGGCGUCUUGCUAGAACGGGUCCGACGGUGAGGGACGAAAGCUAGGGGCACGAACCGGAUUAGAUACCCGGGUAGUCCUAGCCGUAAACGAUGCGAGCUAG